Molecule: ribosomal RNA, 1945 nt
Filed under: Triticum aestivum (bread wheat)
Lineage: Eukaryota; Viridiplantae; Streptophyta; Magnoliopsida; Poales; Poaceae
Description: partial small subunit ribosomal RNA
Source: RNAcentral
UUACGAUGUAUUCGUCGUUUAAAAACGACCAGUAACUCCCAAAAUAAAAAAGAUGGUUGAACGGGUCGUGGACGUGGUUCUGUAUGUUGUUUUUUACUAAUUUACUUUACUAGUUCACUACUUCACUACCUUACUAGUUCACUACUUUACUACCUUACUAGUUCACAUUGACAUGGACCUAAAACUUGUUAAAGUAGAGGAAGGUAAGGGAGAGGCCGUAGAGGAAGGUAUAGUAGAGGAUGUACAGGAAGGUAAAGUAAAAGACGUAAAAGUAGGUAAAGUAGGUGUAGAAGACGUCCACCUCACUUCAACUCCAGACCCUCUAGGUAAAAGAGGACUUCUAUACUUAUAUAUUAAACCAGCUUUUCCCUGCUGUACGACUCCACAUGUUGUAAGUCAAAGAGAAAGCUACCAACGACAUUCACACUCAUGUCCUCACAACAUACACACUGCUGUACGGGUCGACCCAGACGUCGAACCUCUGGUCGCCCAAGAGCGGGGGCCGCGUCAUCGGGGGGCGGCGCUUCCGGCUGCCGCCGCCGAAACGUCUACCCCUCCGUAGCAGUUUCACUUGUAGCUGAUGAGGUACAAGUCUAAACGAGGGACAAGAGACAAGAUGUGUUCAACGGGCUUGUAGACUCAGACCUUCAAACGUCGACUUCGCUACUUGAAUACCAGUCGUGAACAGUUUACCUCGGAGUCUCCGUUUUGUUCCUGUUGUUGUAAGUCAUAUAGUGAUACUAAAAGCAACCACCAGAAGACUAACUAAACCUUCCUUCUUAACAACCAUACUUAAAGUAUCUGCUCUUAUUUUUAGGGAAAAACGGGCAGGUCUAACAACCCUCUACGGACUUUGUGAAGUCUUUCAAACCCUGUGAAGAAAGGACAUAUACCCUGCUAACGAACUUCCUAAACCACAACCACAGUAUAGGAUGUGCAAAACUGUCCACUUGUCUACCUGUCACCGACGAGGAACGACUAGUUAAGUUUUAACGAGACCGAUAGUUAAGUUCGAACGACACUGACCACUCUUCUGCAGGACCAGUUAGUGGUGUAGACUAGUUAAAGACAGACACCGCUCUUGUUCACCAUGUUGAGGCCGCUAGUUAAAGAAACCGCUAAUUGUUAAAACUAGUUAAGUUUGUCGUUGUGUCCGUCGCGAUCACGACGACAACCAGUCACGCCCCUCCUCGUGCCCGCCUCCAGUUAACCGGCCUAGGCCUCGAGGUCACGGACUUAGCUCCUCGACCUUCCGACUCCGUCCUCCUCCUCGUGUCCGACGCGACGACGACGACAACCAGUCACGCCCCUCCUCGUGCCUGCCUCCAGUUAACCGGCCUAGGCCUCGAGGUCACGGACUUAGCUCCUCGACCUUCCGAGUCCGUACUCCUCCUCGUGCCCGCCGCGACGACGACCAGCCACGCCCCUCCUCGUGCCCGCCGCGCUUCCGGUCCUCAGCGCCCGCCGACCUCCGACACCGCCUGCCGCUCCCUCGACGCAUGCUCAAACCCGAGAACUAACUUCACCUCCUUCCGCCGGCUGCUCCCUCGACGCUGGCCGCGCCUGCCUGCGGCCUCGACGUCGUCACCCUACCUCGGACCGCCUCCCCUCCUCGCUACCUCAUUCUGCUUCUAGGGGCCGCUAUUUUUAAAGUUUAACUCCCAUCAAACCAUGAAAUAGGACAAAAGUGGACCAGCCUCUUCAAAGGGUUGCUGUUGAUAAAGCCUUGUCUCCCUCAUAUAGCCUCUCUCUAAAAUAAGAAGGGUACGGUGCAUGCAUGACGACGAGUCCUAGAGGUCGGUUAUGCAUCAUGCCGUAUGCAUAUACGUACCCGUCUCAUGCAUGCAGAACACAACUGAUCGAUCCAUUAUGAUGUAGGGUGAUACGUACCUUUUCACCCUGGUUGCAUGGUAACGGUAACAAACCGACAAAGUAGUACUGGCUG